This 494-nucleotide ribosomal RNA is filed under the name uncultured bacterium. Its description in RNAcentral is "partial 16S ribosomal RNA". It matches the Rfam family "Bacterial small subunit ribosomal RNA", at positions 28 to 507 of the family's 1533-position model. The record is from RNAcentral.
GACGAACGCUGGCGGCGUGCUUAACACAUGCAAGUCGAACGGUGAAGCGCCUUCCUUUUUGGUGGGUGUGGAUGAGUGGCGAACGGGUGAGUAACACGUGAGUAACCUGCCCCCUUCUUCUGGAUAACCGCAUGAAAGUGUGGCUAAUACGGGAUAUUCUGGGUCUGUCGCAUGAUGGGUCUGGGAAAGAUAUUGUUUCGGUGGGGGAUGGGCUCGCGGCCUAUCAGCUUGUUGGUGGGGUGAUGGCCUACCAAGGCGGUGACGGGUAGCCGGCCUGGGAGGGUGGACGGUCACACUGGGACUGAGACACGGCCCAGACUCCUACGGGAGGCAGCAGUGGGGAAUAUUGCACAAUGGGCGCAAGCCUGAUGCAGCGACGCCGCGUGAGGGAUGGAGGCCUGCGGGUUGUGAACCUCUUUCGCCAGUGAAGCAGGCCUGCCUCGUUUGUGGGUGGGUUGACGGUAGCUGGAGAAGAAGCGCCGGCUAACUACGUG